Molecule: ribosomal RNA, 253 nt
Filed under: uncultured bacterium
Lineage: Bacteria
Description: partial 16S ribosomal RNA
Rfam family: Bacterial small subunit ribosomal RNA
Source: RNAcentral
GACGUAGGGCGCGAGCGUUGUCCGGAUUUAUUGGGCGUAAAGAGCUCGUAGGCGGCUUGUCGCGUCGACUGUGAAAACCCGCGGCUCAACUGCGGGCCUGCAGCCGAUACGGGCAGGCUAGAGUUCGGUAGGGGAGACUGGAAUUCCUGGUGUAGCGGUGAAAUGCGCAGAUAUCAGGAGGAACACCGGUGGCGAAGGCGGGUCUCUGGACCAAUACUGACGAUCAGGUGCGAAAGCCAGGGGAGCGAACGGG